Molecule: ribosomal RNA, 484 nt
Filed under: uncultured bacterium
Lineage: Bacteria
Description: partial 16S ribosomal RNA
Rfam family: Bacterial small subunit ribosomal RNA
Source: RNAcentral
AUUGAACGCUGGCGGCAGGCCUAACACAUGCAAGUCGAGCGGAUGAAGGGAGCUUGCUCCUGGAUGCAGCGGCGGACGGGUGAGUAAUGCCUAGGAAUCUGCCUGGUAGUGGGGGAUAACGUCCGGAAACGGGCGCUAAUACCGCAUACGUCCUGAGGGAGAAAGUGGGGGAUCUUCGGACCUCACGCUAUCAGAUGAGCCUAGGUCGGAUUAGCUAGUUGGUGGGGUAAAGGCCUACCAAGGCGACGAUCCGUAACUGGUCUGAGAGGAUGAUCAGUCACCCUGGAACUGAGACACGGUCCAGACUCCUACGGGAGGAAGCAGUGGGGAAUAUUGGACAAUGGGCGAAAGCCUGAUCCAGCCAUGCCGCGUGUGUGAAGAAGGUCUUCGGAUUGUAAAGCACUUUAAGUUGGGAGGAAGGGCAGUAAGUUAAUACCUUGCUGUAUUGACGUUACCAACAGAAUAAGCACCGGCUAACUUCGUG